GGAUAAAAAUGUCAUCUGAAUCAACAGAUUGUGUUAAAGAAAAUUAUAUUAAUAUUUGCCGUUUUAUAGAAAGUUUGUUUUGAAUCGAAUGGAUCUCAUCUUUGAGCUGAUUUGGACACACUAUUUUGCCGUGUAUUAUUUUCUGGAUAUUUUCUACAUGAAAAUUAAUAAUUGCAAUGUUCUAACAAAUCUUACACAAUUUCAUUACGACCUACAUUCUCACUUCCAUGUUCGAACCUGAAGAGCUAGCAGCAGCAAAUAACAUUCCAAAUAAUAUUGUCGAUGCGUAUUCGUAUAGAAAAGCGGUAAUAUAACAGUGAACGUUCAUAUUCCGAGCGUGAAAGUCGCAAAAAAGGAGAUAUAAGGAGCGCAUUAUUUCCAGUAGGCCGCAAUCAGGAUAAAAGUGUAAUCUCGGACUCGUCACCGCGAUUGUACAGAAAUAUGGCGGCCCCAAUGUGCCAUGCUUCGAGGCGCAUCAAAUUUCAUUGAGUUUUUACAGCAGUUGGAUCAAGAUCUGAGGGCGUGUCGACUUGGCGAGUCAUAUUAGUAAAAACUUAGUAGACGCCACCUGUAUAUGCGACGACUACUCGUUACUAGAUGGUAGUAGGAAGCUGAAAGUCAUGUGAGAUGGCUUUAGGAAAAUUGAAUAAAUUCCGAUACCAGUGUUAGCGAUAACACACUCAGACGUAAGCCGGCAAAUUGGAUCCGUCGGACCAAUCAAUAACAGUCCGUGCUCGCGGCUCGCAACACUUUUCUAUAUUCCAGCAGAAAUUCCGACCAACCUGCGACUCGGCGAGCGUCCGCCGUCUCAAGGAAAAUUGAGUUCGCUCUUCAUUAGCCCCUUGAACUCUCUAGGCGGGAUUUAAAAAAAACUUUUUCAUAAGGAGUUUAAGAAGAGUCAAGUUUUCCAUCAACAAAAUUAAGGUAUUUCGGGCCCGAUAUGCUGUGAGGAGGGUCCGUGACGUGUGAUCGACGGCCUGGCCGCGUCGUCGCUACAAAUUUUGAUUAAGGUAUUCUGUAUAAUUAUUAUGAUGUAUAUGAAAUAUAUUCAAUAGUUU
Molecule: long non-coding RNA, 1058 nt
Organism: Plodia interpunctella (Indianmeal moth)
Lineage: Eukaryota; Metazoa; Arthropoda; Insecta; Lepidoptera; Pyralidae
Exons: 5
Source: RefSeq, a predicted model, not a curated record